AACGAACGCUGGCGGCAGGCUUAACACAUGCAAGUCGAGCGAAGACUUCGGUCUUAGCGGCGGACGGGUGAGUAACGCGUGGGAACAUACCCUUUGCUACGGAACAGUCCCGGGAAACUGGGUUUAAUACCGUAUACGCCCUUCGGGGGAAAGAUUUAUCGGCAAAGGAUUGGCCCGCGUUGGAUUAGGUAGUUGGUGGGGUAAAGGCCUACCAAGCCGACGAUCCAUAGCUGGUUUGAGAGGAUGAUCAGCCACACUGGGACUGAGACACGGCCCAGACUCCUACGGGAGGCAGCAGUGGGGAAUCUUAGACAAUGGGGGCAACCCUGAUCUAGCCAUGCCGCGUGAGUGAUGAAGGCCCUAGGGUUGUAAAGCCCUUUUCCCAGGGAAGAUAGUGACGGUACCUGGGGAAUCAGCCCCGGCUAACUACGUGCCAGCCGCCGCGUAACAC
RNAcentral lists this ribosomal RNA (451 nucleotides) under uncultured bacterium. RNAcentral's name for it is "bacterial SSU rRNA". It matches the Rfam family "Bacterial small subunit ribosomal RNA", at positions 29 to 526 of the family's 1533-position model. The record is from RNAcentral.